GGUGUUACAACUCUCCCAUUUCCCCUAAAAGAAAUUUGAUCCCUUAAAUUUAUCUCUUUCACUCUCAAUCAAACAGUUGGGGAUAUUUGGCUCUGAAGUCUGAUUCUAGCUCCCAUGUGGCCUUUCUUAGUGUGUGAUUCUGCCAUAGGACAUUCAUAAAGGAAAUUUUUUGGUUGCAGAGUAAUAUACUCUUUCGAUCCACAAUGUCGACCGGUACUUCCUAGUGUGACAGAUCCACCUGGAGUGGAAGAGACUCAUGGGCCAAGAUGUGUGAGGUGUCUGGGUUGUACUUGUGUAGCAUGGACACAUGAAACACAUUAUGGAC
This 325-nucleotide long non-coding RNA is filed under the name Carica papaya (papaya). Its description in RNAcentral is "long non-coding RNA (CPAP_LNC013594)". The record is from RNAcentral. Lineage: Eukaryota; Viridiplantae; Streptophyta; Magnoliopsida; Brassicales; Caricaceae.